Molecule: long non-coding RNA, 680 nt
Organism: Orcinus orca (killer whale)
Lineage: Eukaryota; Metazoa; Chordata; Mammalia; Artiodactyla; Delphinidae
Exons: 2
Source: RefSeq, a predicted model, not a curated record
GACAAAAAUUAUCUCAGGAGUUUAAAGUUGGCUUAACAUUUGAAAAUCAACCCAUGUAAUUUACCCGAAUCAUGCCUGAUUUACAGAUAAUUCUGCGCCAAAGAGAAGACACAGCUGUAGCAUUACAGCCCCCAAUAGGAGUUUCCUUAAAAGACAGUGGUGAAGUAAAUCCUCCCAGUGGGCAGAUCUUCAAGAAAUACACUUGGUUGUCCACUUUAUCUGAACUGAAGAAUGGCCAGAACACACCUACCCUGACUAAUGGGCAGUUGCUUACAGCUUCACAAUACGCUUAGGGAACUGGAGAGAACAGCAGCAUUGGAAGAAACAGAAGCACAGAAAUUAUGUAAUUUGCAGAAGACUGCACAGCUGAUGAACGAUGGAGCCAUUUUAGGAAGCUCUAACCCAGGUCUCUCUGACUUCAAUCUGUCUUGGCCUCACAUACCUCAGCAAAGAAGUGGAAAUGGUCUCAAGCUACACCAUCCUCUAACGUAAUGGUCCCCACAGUGGAGGAGGAUAGGCACAUCCUGGGUGUGCGUGAUGGUAUACUGGGAUAUUAACAAAAAAUGUUAGAUUUCUAUUUAUACUUUUUAAGUCUAAAACAAUAAUAAAGAAAUUCAGCUUUGCUACUAUUUAACAUACAGCUGGACACUGGCAUCCUUAUUUGGUCUGGAUGCCAGCUG